GGGCUUCCCUGUUUGCAUUGCUGCUGGAGAAGCUCAACAAACUGAAGAUCCAAUGGAAGAAGAUAUGGAAGCACGUGUGGCUGAGAAUAACAUUGUGACCCUAAAACCAGAACGCCGAUAUCGAAUCAAGGCAGGGAUGGAGGACUCUUGAUAUUAUGUGCACUUGAAGCUAGUAUCUGUGUUAAUUGUUGAAUCAAGGCAGGGAUCGAGGACACUUGAUCUUAUGUUUACUUGAAGCUAGUUUUGUGUUAAUUGUUGAAUCAAGGCAGGGAUCGAGGACACUUGAUCUUAUGUUUACUUGAAGCUAGUUU
This 311-nucleotide unclassified non-coding RNA is filed under the name Hevea brasiliensis (rubber tree). The record is from RNAcentral. Lineage: Eukaryota; Viridiplantae; Streptophyta; Magnoliopsida; Malpighiales; Euphorbiaceae.